This is an RNA transcript of Prunus persica (peach), 3189 nucleotides long. It is a transcript of the gene named cell division control protein 48 homolog C, with no coding region annotated. The transcript has 12 exons. NCBI's taxonomy places the organism in Eukaryota, Viridiplantae, Streptophyta, Magnoliopsida, Rosales, Rosaceae. The record is from RefSeq and is a predicted model, not a curated record.
CUCUUCUCUCUGUCUUUCAUCUCGUCACUCAAUCUCUGGCUUUCAUCUCAUCUGCUAACUCUCUCUCUCUUUCUCUUCGCCGCCAGAACAGAGAAAGUAAGCGAUGAAGAAGACGGGAAAAAAGUUAGACGGAGGAGGGAGGUCGCUCUCUGAACAAAAGCAGAGGGUUCUUCGUUGUCGUUUGGAGACCUUCAAGCACCUGCGCUCCUCCUCUCUGGACGAAAUCGUCCACCAACUUCGCAAUAAUUACCGAGACUACCACCGCAUCAAGCUCCAGUCCUUCACGAAGUUCGUCCAGCAAACCCUAGACUCGCCUUCCUUCAAGCAAUCCAAAACCCUAAUCCAUGUCAGUGACUUAGAAGAAGAUGAAGAUGAAGAAGAAGAAGAAGAAAACGGCCAAAGCAAUUCCCAGAGAAGGCGGAAGCGUGCUGCUAGUAAGGGCGAGGAUAAAUUGCAGCGAAUGGAGUCUGCUCACCUCAGAAGGGUUCGUCAAAGGAAUGGUGACCGUCCAUCUACAUCUUCUUCUUCUGAUGAUGCUGAUGAAGAUGGGUCUGUGUCGACGUCGGAGGACGCGAUAUACAGCGAGAAAGUGGACCCGGAGUUUGAUGUGAUGAAAUCGAGUCUCCGAGCAUCGUAUAUGGAAUCGAACAGCGCCUUGAAGCCCAAGGCAGCCGAGGAGCAGAAGGAGAAGAAUGUAGAAAUGGAGCUUCCUGCUCGCGAGCAAGUUGAGUUAAUGGGUGGAAAUGGAGGGCCAAGGCGGCCAAAGACAUUGCUAACACCUGAAGCCAAGGGCUCGGUUUCUACAGGGGUUGAGGUGAAGGGAAGCGAGGGUCCGAGGUUUAGUGACUUAGGUGGGAUGGAGAAGGUGAUAGAGGAGCUGAAGAUGGAGGUGAUUGUGCCGCUGCGCCAUCCCGAGCUGCCUAGGUGGCUCGGAGUCAGGCCAAUGUCUGGGAUUCUGUUGUACGGCCCACCCGGGUGUGGCAAGACCAAAUUGGCUCAUGCCAUUGCCAAUGAAACCGGCAUUCCGUUUUAUAAAAUUUCUGCUACAGAAGUCGUCUCUGGUGUCUCAGGUGCAUCUGAAGAAAAUAUAAGAGAGCUUUUUUCUAAAGCUUAUAGAACUGCCCCUUCAAUUGUAUUUAUUGAUGAAAUUGAUGCAAUUGCUUCGAAAAGAGAAAGUUUGCAACGAGAAAUGGAGAGGCGGAUCGUGACACAACUAAUGACUUGCAUGGAUGAAUCUCAUAGGCUUGUACAACCGGCUGAUGCAAAUUCCAACUCCGAGAGUUUUGAUAACAAGUCUGGUUAUGUUCUUGUUAUUGGAGCUACCAAUAGGCCUGAUGCUGUUGACCAUGCUCUGAGGAGGCCUGGGAGAUUUGACCGUGAGAUUGUUUUAGGUGUUCCAGAUGAAAAUGCCAGGGUUCAGAUUCUUUCUGUGCUUACACGCAAUCUAAGACUUGAAGGUUCUUUUGAUCUUCUUAAAAUAGCCAGGUCUACACCAGGGUUUGUUGGGGCUGAUUUGGCAGCCCUGGCCGACAGGGCUGGUAACAUUGCCAUGAAAAGGAUUAUACACAAGAGGAAGACUGAUAUGUCUAUAGAUUCUAUGAAUGAGGAGUGCAAUGAAGAGUGGUGGAGACAACCAUGGUCGCCUGAAGAAAUGGGAAGGCUUACUAUCAGUAUGGCUGAUUUUGAGGAAGCAGUUCAAGUGGUUCAGCCUUCAUCAAAAAGAGAAGGAUUCUCUGCAAUUCCUAAUGUAAAAUGGGAAGAUGUUGGUGGGUUAGAUCUUUUAAGGCAGGAAUUUGAUCGUUAUAUAGUUAGGCGUGUUAAAUAUCCUGAGAACUAUGAGGAAUUUGGAGUAGAUUUAGAGACAGGAUUUUUGCUUUAUGGGCCUCCAGGAUGUGGUAAAACACUGAUAGCGAAGGCUGUUGCUAAUGAAGCAGGAGCCAAUUUCAUUCACAUUAAGGGCCCUGAACUUCUGAAUAAAUAUGUUGGAGAAAGUGAGUUGGCAGUUAGGACAUUGUUUAGUCGCGCAAGGACGUGCUCACCAUGCAUACUUUUCUUUGAUGAGGUGGAUGCCUUAACAACAAAGCGGGGGAAAGAAGGAGGAUGGGUUGUUGAACGGCUAUUGAACCAGUUGCUUAUAGAGUUAGAUGGUGCAGAGCAGCGGCGGGGUGUAUUUGUUAUUGGUGCCACUAAUAGACCCGAUGUCAUGGACCGUGCUGUAUUGCGGCCCGGUAGGUUUGGUAAACUUAUUUAUGUCUCCCCGCCCACAAAAGACGAGCGUGGUUUGAUUUUAAAAGCUCUUGCGAGGAAGAAGCCUAUAGAUGCCAGCGUAGAUCUCAGUGAGAUUGGACAAAGGGAAACUUGUGAAAAUUUUAGUGGAGCUGAUCUUGCUGCACUGAUGAAUGAAGCGGCUAUGGCUGCUCUUGAAGAAAAACUGACAUCCACACCUGAGAGGAAUUCAGAUGCAUCUCCAUGGACUAUCAAAGACACUCACUUUGAGCAAGCACUGGCUAAAAUUGCACCAUCUGUAACAGACAAGCAAAUGCAAUACUACCAGAAAUUUGGAGAGAGCCUCAAAGCACCAAGAAACAAAGCCUAAGCCAGAAAUGUCCCAUUGAAGAGCUAUAAACAACCCUGUACUCAAAGAAAUCCUGGUAAGCAGCAACAUCUCCAAAGCUGCUUCUGUCCUUGUAUAUUGCAUUGUCACUCCCGUGCUAGAAGAAACUGUUUACAGGUGAUUUUUACUAGGGUCAAUUUCGUCCACUAUGAAAUGGCAGUCAGCAGUUUUGAUAAGCUCAGCUAUUUUCAGUGCAGCUCACCCGUCUGCUGAUCCCAACCGCAUGCGGCUCAAGCACAUGGUUACUCAACAACCAUGCACAGGAAUUUGUCACUUAACUAGGAUGCACGGGUCCCAUCGUUCAAGGGGCGCACUGUGUGUAGAGUCCAACGACACUCCGAAUGAACCCAAAGCAAGUCCAACACUUGGGAAUCCACUUACGGAUAUAUCUUUGAUUGUAUCUAUCAUGGAACAAACUAAGAACAUGUUGUUACAUAUCAUUGAGAAAUGUUUUACUCAUAUCCGUUGUACUGCUAAUAGAGCGGUGGGACAUUCUUUUUCUUGAUUUGAGGAGCGUCCUGAUAUUAUUUGUGAUAUUCUUUUUAAAGGAUUGUGAUUUGUAGUGGCUUAUGGGA